RNAcentral lists this ribosomal RNA (953 nucleotides) under uncultured archaeon. RNAcentral describes it as "bacterial SSU rRNA". It matches the Rfam family "Archaeal small subunit ribosomal RNA", at positions 1 to 925 of the family's 1478-position model. The record is from RNAcentral.
GAUUUUCCGGUUGAUCCUGCCGGACCCUACUGCUAUCGGGGUGGGACUAAGACAUGCGUGUCGAACGACCCCAAGCCAACAUGAGGUCGUGGCAUACGGCUCAGUAACACGUGGCUAACCUACCCUCGAGACAGGGACAACCCCGGGAAACUGGGGCUAAUCCCAGAUAGAUGAAGACCCCUGGAAUGGGUCCUCGUCCAAAAGGCAUCAUGGUUAUGCUCUGUGAUGUCGCUCAAGGAUGGGGCCGCGUCCGAUCAGGCUGUUGGUGAGGUAAUGGCUCACCAAACCUAUAACCGGUACGGGCCGUGGGAGCGGGAGCCCGGAGAUGGGAACUGAGACAAGGUCCCAAGCCCUACGGGGCGCAGCAGUUACGAAAACUUGUCAAUGCACGAAAGUGUGAACGGGCUACCCCGAGUGCCGUCCGCUGGGGAUGGCUUUUCUCUGCUUUAAGAAGGCAGAGGAAUAAGGCGAGGGCAAGUCUGGUGUCAGCCGCCGCGGUAAUACCAGCUCGCCGAGUGGUAGGGAUGAUUAUUGGGCCUGAAGCGUCCGUAGCUGGCCUUUCAAGUCUCUUGUUAAAUCCAGCGAUUCAAUCGUUGGACUGCAGGAGAUACUGUUAGGCUAGGAGGCGAGAGAAGCCGACGGUAUUUUCGGGGUAGGGGUAAAAUCCUAUAAUCCCGAGAAGACCACCAGUGGCGAAGGCGGUCGGCUAGCGCGCGCUCGACGGUGAGGGACGAAAGCUGGGGGAGCGAACCGGAUUAGAUACCCGGGUAGUCCCAGCUGUAAACGAUGCUAGCUAGGGUGUUGAAGCGGCCACGAGCCGCUUCAGUGCCGCAGGAAAGCCAUUAAGCUAGCCGCCUGGGGAGUACGGCCGCAAGGCUGAAACUUAAAGGAAUUGGCGGGGGAGCACCACAAGGGGUGAAGCUUGCGGUUUAAUUGGAUUCAACGCCGGAAAU